This 402-nucleotide ribosomal RNA is filed under the name Triticum aestivum (bread wheat). RNAcentral describes it as "partial small subunit ribosomal RNA". Lineage: Eukaryota; Viridiplantae; Streptophyta; Magnoliopsida; Poales; Poaceae. The record is from RNAcentral.
AUGGCGGCCGUAGCAGGAGCUCUUCUCCCGCCGCUGCUCCCGACGCCGCCCAGGAGCGAGAUGCUGCCGAUCCUCCCGACGCCGCCCAAGAGCAAGAUGCUGCCUCUGUUGCCGACGCCGCACGGUGUCGUCCUCACCAUGCUGGUGUCCGCCAUGCAUGGCCGCGCCGACUUCGUCCAGAGGUGGGACUGGAACAAGACGGGCAAAAAGCCAUGCAGCUCCAUCUGCUCCUCCUCCUCCUCGUCGUCAUCGUCAGGCAGCGAGAGCACCGGUCGUGCCGACUCCGUCGACCGGUGGGACUCGGACAAGAAACACAAGAAAGCCACGCACCACCGUGUCGUCGUCAUCGUCAUCGUCAUCUUCAUACAGCGCCGGGAGACCCGGACGCGCCGACUCCGUUGA